This 253-nucleotide ribosomal RNA is filed under the name uncultured bacterium. Its description in RNAcentral is "partial 16S ribosomal RNA". It matches the Rfam family "Bacterial small subunit ribosomal RNA", at positions 524 to 776 of the family's 1533-position model. The record is from RNAcentral.
UACAGAGGUGGCAAGCGUUGUUCGGAUUUACUGGGCGUAAAGGGUGCGUAGGUGGUCAUCUGUGUCGGGUGUGAAAUCCCACGGCUCAACCGUGGAAUGGCAUUCGAAACUGGAUGGCUAGAGUGCAGGAUGGGAGAGCGGAAUUCUUGGUGUAGCGGUGAAAUGCGUUGAUAUCAAGAAGAACACCGGUGGCGAAGGCGGCUCUCUGGAAUGCAACUGACACUGAGGCACGAAAGCUGGGGAAGCAAACAGG